GGAAGAGCAAGUAGCAAUGAAAAGGCUGACGCUGCCCAGCAGGAAUACGGCAGCAUGUGGUUGUGAGUCCAAACUGCCUACUGGUUGGAAGGAAAUGGGGGCGGGGAAUCCUAAUCCUAACGGGAAAAGGCAGACGCGCCCUCUCCUGGCAUCUCGGAAGAAUUCUGUUUCACUUUCUAGACCGCCAGCUCGUCAGGCUCCGCCUGCCGGAUCUUUGACAUCAAUCACCCUUGAGUUAACCUCCAGAACUGGGCAGAGGGGUAGCGUGUCAGUGCCCGCCCCCACACGUAAUUCCCGAGUGUCCCUCCUGCGUCUGUUAGGGGUGCCUGGGGUGAGUCACACUCCCUUUGGGUUUCUUUCUACUAUUUUAAACCAUAUUAAGCUCCUACAGAGCCCACAGGGGGGUGUAGCCACAGGUGCUCUGCUAUGUGACUGGCUCCCUGCUCCUCUUCUCCACUGGUGCCAGACCAUACUUGCUCCAACAUGGCCAUCUAAGAAGCUAUUUUGA
RNAcentral lists this long non-coding RNA (508 nucleotides) under Lynx canadensis (Canada lynx). Its description in RNAcentral is "lncRNA (ENSLCNG00005003012.1)". The record is from RNAcentral. Lineage: Eukaryota; Metazoa; Chordata; Mammalia; Carnivora; Felidae.